CAGGUGGAGCUGCAGCUUGUGCAGACCUGUGCCUUGAGACAGAAGGGCAGCCUCUCUGGGGAGCACUCUAACAGGUCCCCAGAUCUGACACAUCAAGAUUAAGUCCUGAAGAUUUGGAGCUGAGUGACAAGAAAGGGUGGUACGCCUACCACAGCAUGGCUGCCAAGCAGUGCCAUGUCCGCACCCGGGAUCCGAACCGGCGAACCCUGGGCCGCCGAGAAGCGGAACGUGAGAACUUAACCACUGCACCACCGGGCCGGCCCCUACAAAUUACCUUUUAAAAAAUAAAAAGAGAUCAUUCAAAGGGUGGUGACAUGAUACACGGUAUAGAUGUGCGCAUGUACUCAACUGAAAGAGGAAUGUUAACAAUAUAAUGAAAUUAGUGUGAGCUGCCGUCACAGCAUGGCCACUGACAGACAAGUGGUGUGCUUCUGCACCUGGGAACCAAACACUGGGCUGCUGAAGUGGAGCACAUUGAACUUUAACCACUGGGCCAUUGGGGCUGGCCCCAUAUCAUCCUUUUUAAGAAUGAUUUUGAUUAUGAUUGCAUGAUCUGGAAAGAGAAUUGGAAGACCCAGGAAGAACUGAAUUGCUCUCUGAAAUCAAGUGACAGAAAGUCUCUGUGGUGCUUUGAGGAGUGAAGAAAAAUGGGGGUACUCACAACCUGGGGUGAAUUGUGAAGAUAAAACAAUAGCCCUCGAACCGUUAGAAACCAGAAGACAGUAAGAGGCACUCCCUCUCGCCCUCUCACUUGCUCACUCUGAUGAAGCGAGCUGAGCUGCCCUCUUCUGAGCUGCCCUUCUAAGAGGCCCAUGUGGCAAAGACUGAGGGCCACCUCACUGAGAGACCAAAGCCCUCAGUCCAACAGCCCUUGAGGAACUGAAUCUUGCCAAUUCGGUAACUUGACUGAGUUUGGAAGUGGAUCCUUCCCCCGUUUAUCCAAGAGAUGGCUGCAGUCUCCGCUGACACCUUGAUUGCAGCCUUGUGAGAGACCCAAAGCUGGAGGACCCAGCUAAGCCACCGCCAGAUUCCUGACCUACCGGAACUGGAAUAAUUACACAACAACAGAUAAUUAAGACAAAUGAUAAUGUUCAUAACUAGCAUUCUUGAGUGUUAGCUGUAUGUCAGGCACUGUGCUAAGUGAUUUACGUGUGAUUUCUCUUUUCAUCUUCACAGCAGUCCCAUGAAGAAGAUAGUAGUAAUCUCAUUUUAUAGAUGGGGAAACUGAGGCUUAGAGGAAUUCGCCAAAGUUACAGAGCUAGUGAGUAAACUCAGAGUGUAAACCUGUGUAGUCUUGCUCUAGAGCCUGGGUGCUUAAACAGGGUGUUCUGUUUGCUCUGCUACAUCAACUAAUCCCUCUCAUCCUGAAUACACUUUUUGCUGAACUGGCUGGUUUUUUAAAUGGAACUACAUUGCUGUUUUUGAAUAAAGUAAUCCCAGGCCUGGGCCCUUGGUCACCUCAGAGAUGGGCAGGCAAAAGCCAGAGACGGGACCAGCAGCCUUGUGUGAAAAACAUAUUCCGAGCACUUGUGUUCUUUGAUUUGGAGCUGACAUUUGUCCUAGCCGUAGUAACGGAGGAGAGGGAAGGAUGAGAGUGGGGAAGGGUGAUUCAUUAUUUCAGCUCUUGUGUCAGCAUAUCAGACUGUGAGGAUGAAAACAAAUCAAGAGAGAAUGUUGUUGGGAUGGUUCGGAUAUGUUUCAGUUGGGACCUACCAAGAAAAAAGGAAAUAAUACGUAAAGUGUUGUGAUGUAAAACAAUUAUUGUGAGAAUAGUUAUAUUGCUUUUAAAAAAAAACUAUUUUGGAAAUAGCUUUUAUCUCUUUUAAUGUAACAGUAGUUAUUAUUACAUGCUUGAUAUAAUAAAAACAUGAAUAGAACAACUGAGAAAAUUAUAGAGAGUGGAUAUCACCCCCAGUCCCACCCAAUAGCAUUAAACAGAUGGAUAGUUUUUACUGUUUCAUAAUAUGUUUGCCUCUUAUUACGGCUAUCUUUUCAUGUCAAUAACUAGGUCGACAUCAUUGUUUGCAGUGUUCUGCUGUUAAGUAUGUUAAAUCAUUUAUCCAAAAUAAUUUCCUGGAUAUUUAAGUUGCUUCCAGUUUUCUGUAAUAAACAACUCCAUGAAAGGUCAC
Molecule: long non-coding RNA, 2129 nt
Filed under: Equus caballus (horse)
Lineage: Eukaryota; Metazoa; Chordata; Mammalia; Perissodactyla; Equidae
Description: lncRNA (ENSECAG00000058395.1)
Source: RNAcentral